This 465-nucleotide ribosomal RNA is filed under the name uncultured bacterium. Its description in RNAcentral is "partial 16S ribosomal RNA". It matches the Rfam family "Bacterial small subunit ribosomal RNA", at positions 338 to 795 of the family's 1533-position model. The record is from RNAcentral.
CCUACGGGAGGCAGCAGUAGGGAAUUUUCGUCAAUGGGCGCAAGCCUGAACGAGCGAUGCCGCGUGAGUGAAGAAGGCCUUCGGGUCGUAAAGCUCUGUUGCGGGGGAAAAAAGGCAGCAUCAGGAAAUGGGUGCUGACUGAUGGUGCCCCGCCAGAAAGUCACGGCUAACUACGUGCCAGCAGCCGCGGUAAUACGUAGGUGGCGAGCGUUAUCCGGAAGGAUUGGGCGUAAAGGGUGCGCAGGCGGUCCUGCAAGUCUGGAGUGAAACGCAUGAGCUCAACUCAUGCAUGGCUUUGGAAACUGGAGGACUGGAGAGCAGGAGAGGGUGGUGGAACUCCAUGUGUAGCGGUAAAAUGCGUAGAUAUAUGGAAGAACACCAGUGGCGAAGGCGGCCGCCUGGCCUGUUGCUGACGCUGAGGCACGAAAGCGUGGGGAGCAAAUAGGAUUAGAUACCCCUGUAGUC